Molecule: ribosomal RNA, 253 nt
Filed under: uncultured bacterium
Lineage: Bacteria
Description: partial 16S ribosomal RNA
Rfam family: Bacterial small subunit ribosomal RNA
Source: RNAcentral
UACGAAGGGGGCGAGCGUUGUUCGGAUUUACUGGGCGUAAAGGGCGCGUAGGCGGCCGAUCAAGUCAGGCGUGAAAGCCCCGGGCUCAACCUGGGAAUGGCGCUUGGGACUGGUUGGCUUGAGUUCGGGAGAGGAGAGUGGAAUUCCCAGUGUAGAGGUGAAAUUCGUAGAUAUUGGGAAGAACACCGGUGGCGAAGGCGGCUCUCUGGACCGAGACUGACGCUGAGGCGCGAAAGCGUGGGUAGCAAACAGG